UGAUAGUCUUUGCUAUUAUAUCGUGUA
Molecule: small RNA, 27 nt
Filed under: Bombyx mori (domestic silkworm)
Lineage: Eukaryota; Metazoa; Arthropoda; Insecta; Lepidoptera; Bombycidae
Description: ovarian small RNA-32479
Source: RNAcentral